AAUACAAAUAGGCUCAUGUAACUAAUCAU
Molecule: non-coding RNA, 29 nt
Filed under: Cricetulus griseus (Chinese hamster)
Lineage: Eukaryota; Metazoa; Chordata; Mammalia; Rodentia; Cricetidae
Source: RNAcentral